This 274-nucleotide ribosomal RNA is filed under the name uncultured bacterium. RNAcentral's name for it is "partial 16S ribosomal RNA". It matches the Rfam family "Bacterial small subunit ribosomal RNA", at positions 523 to 796 of the family's 1533-position model. The record is from RNAcentral.
AUACGGAGGGUGCAAGCGUUAUCCGGAAUCAUUGGGUUUAAAGGGUGCGCAGGCGGUUUAUUAAGUCAGUGGUGAAAUCUCGGGGCUCAACCUCGAAACUGCCAUUGAUACUGAUAAACUUGAGUUCAGUUGGAGUAGGCGGAAUGUGUAGUGUAGCGGUGAAAUGCUUAGAUAUUACACAGAACACCGAUAGCGAAGGCAGCUUACUAAACUGAUACUGACGCUGAGGCACGAAAGCGUGGGGAGCGAACAGGAUUAGAAACCCCGGUAGUCC